This 595-nucleotide ribosomal RNA is filed under the name uncultured bacterium. RNAcentral's name for it is "bacterial SSU rRNA". It matches the Rfam family "Bacterial small subunit ribosomal RNA", at positions 112 to 704 of the family's 1533-position model. The record is from RNAcentral.
AAUGCCUAGGAAUCUGCCUGGUAGUGGGGGAUAACGUUCGGAAACGGACGCUAAUACCGCAUACGUCCUACGGGAGAAAGCAGGGGACCUUCGGGCCUUGCGCUAUCAGAUGAGCCUAGGUCGGAUUAGCUAGUUGGUGAGGUAAUGGCUCACCAAGGCGACGAUCCGUAACUGGUCUGAGAGGAUGAUCAGUCACACUGGAACUGAGACACGGUCCAGACUCCUACGGGAGGCAGCAGUGGGAAUAUUGGACAAUGGGCGAAAGCCUGAUCCAGCCAUGCCGCGUGUGUGAAGAAGGUCUUCGGAUUGUAAAGCACUUUAAGUUGGGAGGAAGGGUUGUAGAUUAAUACUCUGCAAUUUUGACGUUACCGACAGAAUAAGCACCGGCUAACUCUGUGCCAGCAGCCGCGGUAAUACAGAGGGUGCAAGCGUUAAUCGGAAUUACUGGGCGUAAAGCGCGCGUAGGUGGUUUGUUAAGUUGGAUGUGAAAUCCCCGGGCUCAACCUGGGAACUGCAUUCAAAACUGACUGACUAGAGUAUGGUAGAGGGUGGUGGAAUUUCCUGUGUAGCGGUGAAAUGCGUAGAUAUAGGAAGG